CCCAGCACUUUGGGAGGCCAAGGCAGGUGGAUCACGAGGUCAGGAGAUCGAGACCAUCCUGGUCAAUAUGGUGAAACCCUGUCUCUACUAAAAAUAUAAAAAUUAGCUGGGUGUGGUGGCAUGCACCUAUAGUUCCAGCUCCUUGGGAGGCUUAAGCAGGAGAAUCACUUGAACUCGGGAGGCAGAGGUUGCAGUGAGCCGAGAUUGUGCCACUGCACUCCAGCCUGGUGACAGAGUGAGACUCCAUCUCAAAAAAAAAAAAAAAAUUGUUGAGGGCUCUAUCUGCCACUCUGAUUGUAGACUAGGGGAGAACAUGGCUUGGUCAGGUAUGAAGUGGAAGAGGAAUAAUGAAAAGAACCACCCAGGCCUGCAGUGCAGGUCAGAUGACCCUCGGCCUUCUUUACCUUAGGUGGCCCAUGAGGGCGACCUCAGUAAUUUUCUUGUUCUGAAUGUCCAGGGUGAGUCUGUAAGACGUUUUGCCCUCAGUAGAUUCAUCAUUAACUCUGAGGAUUGUUCCGAGGUCUGGUAGCCUCAGUCUGCUUCGCACCUGGACGAGUGUAUAAGAGAAUCAAGAGAUGUGUGGUAAGA
RNAcentral lists this long non-coding RNA (588 nucleotides) under Pan troglodytes (chimpanzee). Its description in RNAcentral is "long non-coding RNA NONPTRT009988". Lineage: Eukaryota; Metazoa; Chordata; Mammalia; Primates; Hominidae. The record is from RNAcentral.